Non-coding RNA from Paramuricea clavata, 227 nucleotides. NCBI's taxonomy places the organism in Eukaryota, Metazoa, Cnidaria, Anthozoa, Malacalcyonacea, Plexauridae. The record is from the annotation of a GenBank genome assembly.
CCACGAGGGGUGCAACGGAAUCCGUUUUCUAAGCAUCUUUUGGAUGCUCAUCCCACGGCCUAUGAGAUCAGAGGACUGAGAUAUUAUAUUUAUAUAUAUUUUUUUAAUUUUUUUUUUUAUUACGCCCGUAAAAAAUAUCAAGUUAUUUACAUUUAUUUUUCUAUUGUUUUGGAUAGGCUAGGAGCCUUUUCUACCUACUAGGCUUUUUAAUUAAGACCCCUAUAGAC